This 460-nucleotide ribosomal RNA is filed under the name uncultured bacterium. Its description in RNAcentral is "partial 16S ribosomal RNA". It matches the Rfam family "Bacterial small subunit ribosomal RNA", at positions 338 to 795 of the family's 1533-position model. The record is from RNAcentral.
CCUACGAGAGGCAGCAGUGAGGAAUAUUGGUCAAUGGACGCAAGUCUGAACCAGCCAUGCCGCGUGCAGGAAGACGGCUCUAUGAGUUGUAAAUUGCUUUUGUAAGAGGGUAAACGCAGAUAUGUGUAUCUGUCUGAAAGUAUCGUACGAAUAAGGAUCGGCUAACUCCGUGCCAGCAGCCGCGGUAAUCCGGAGGAUUCAAGCGUUAUCCGGAUUUAUUGGGUUUAAAGGGUGCGUAGGCGGUCGGAUAAGUUAGAGGUGAAAUCCCGGGGCUCAACUUCGGAAUUGCCUCUGAUACUGUUCGGCUAGAGAGUAGUUGCGGUAGGCGGAAUGUAUGGUGUAGCGGUGAAAUGCUUAGAGAUCAUACAGAACACCGAUUGCGAAGGCAACUUACCAAGCUACUUCUGACGUUGAGGCACGAAAGCGUGGGGAGCAAACAGGAUUAGAUACCCUAGUAGUC